This 253-nucleotide ribosomal RNA is filed under the name uncultured bacterium. RNAcentral's name for it is "partial 16S ribosomal RNA". It matches the Rfam family "Bacterial small subunit ribosomal RNA", at positions 524 to 776 of the family's 1533-position model. The record is from RNAcentral.
UACAGAGGGUGCAAGCGUUAAUCGGAAUUACUGGGCGUAAAGCGUGCGUAGACGGUUGCGUAAGUCAGAUGUGAAAGCCCCGGGCUCAACCUGGGAAUUGCAUUUGAGACUGCGUAGCUAGGGUGCGGAAGAGGGAAGCGGAAUUUCCGGUGUAGCGGUGAAAUGCGUAGAUAUCGGAAGGAACACCAGUGGCGAAGGCGGUCCCCUGGGCCGGAACUGACGCUGAGGCGCGAAAGCGUGGGUAGCAAACGGG